GCUUGUCUCAAAGAUUAAGCCAUGCAUGUCUAAGUAUAAAUCUUUUACUUUGAAACUGCGAACGGCUCAUUAUAUCAGUUAUAGUUUAUUUGAUAGUCCCUUACUACUUGGAUAACCGUAGUAAUUCUAGAGCUAAUACAUGCAGGAAGACCCGACUCACGAAGGGUUGUAUUUAUUAGAUAAGAAACCUUCCCCUUUGGGUUGCGUGCCGAGUCACAAUAACUCCUCGAAUCGCAUGGCCUUGCGCCGGCGAUGUUUCAUUCAAAUUUCUGCCCUAUCAAUUUGAUGGUAGGAUAGAGGCCUACCAUGGUGGUAACGGGUGACGGAGAAUUAGGGUUCGAUUCCGGAGAGGGAGCCUGAGAAACGGCUACCACAUCCAAGGAAGGCAGCAGG
Molecule: ribosomal RNA, 393 nt
Filed under: Chrysochromulina parva
Lineage: Eukaryota; Haptophyta; Prymnesiales; Chrysochromulinaceae
Description: partial small subunit ribosomal RNA
Rfam family: Eukaryotic small subunit ribosomal RNA
Source: RNAcentral